Molecule: non-coding RNA, 1435 nt
Organism: Elaeis guineensis (African oil palm)
Lineage: Eukaryota; Viridiplantae; Streptophyta; Magnoliopsida; Arecales; Arecaceae
Source: RefSeq, a predicted model, not a curated record
AGUAUAUUCCAGAAGAGGUAGUUUUGUUUCAGUAAGCUCUAUCCAUCCAUCCACUCCACUUUAACCUACCUUUUGGGGAAAACUGAUCUAAUCCAACCACCGGAGUCGAAGCUCUUUAAAGAAUCCUCACAUGAACUCUCUCAACUCCUGUCUCUGGAUAGCAUAGAAGAAACCCAGCGCCGUUACAGGGAUGCUUACCGCAGCAGCAGCAGUUUUGCUAGUAGUUCUGCUUGGAUGGGCUUACCAGGCUAUCCAACCUCCCCCUCCAAGAAUUUGUGGCACACCAAAUGGUCCUCCUGUCACCUCCCCAGGAUUAAGCUCAGAGAUGGAAGGUACCUGGCCUACAAAGAAGCAGGAACCCCCAAGGAGAAGGCCAAGUACAAGGUCAUCGUUGUCCAUGGCUUUAAUUCUGCCAAAGACUCCGAGUUUCCAGCAUCUCAAGAGCUUGUGGAUGAACUAGGAGUCUACUUCCUAUCAUUUGACCGAGCAGGGUAUGGAGAGAGUGAUCCAAACCCAAAGCGCACGGUUAAAAGCGAAGCUAUGGACAUUCAAGAGCUUGCUGAUAAGUUAGAGCUCGGAUCAAAGUUCUACCUGAUAGGACGUUCCAUGGGUGGUUAUCCUGCCUGGAGUUGCCUCAAUUACAUACCACACAGGUUGGCAGGAGUAGCACUAGUUGCGCCGGCCGUCAACUACUGGUGGCCUUCUUUUCCUGCCAAUCUAUCAAGAAUGGCCUACAAGAAGUUGUUAGUACAGGAUCAGAGAACGUUCUGGAUUGCACACCAUUUUCCUUCCCUUCUGUAUGGGUGGAUGACCCAGAAGUUGCUCCCAGCUUCAGCAGCUAUUCAGGGACAUCCUGAUUUACUUACCCCACAAGAUAUGGAAAUCUUGCAGAAGAUGAAAGCACAUGCUGAGUCACUCGAGUUACAGAACAAAGCAGCACAGCAGAGUGUCUUUGAGUCUCUUCAUCGGGACAUUAUGGUUUUGUUUAGCAAUUGGGAGUUUGAUCCAAUGAAAAUAAGCAAUCCCUUUCGCAAAAAUGAGGGCAAUGUCGACAUCUGGCAAGGCUGUGAAGAUAGGAUCGUCCCAGUGGAGUUACAGCGCUAUAUUGCACAGAAGCUUCCAUGGAUACGAUAUCAUGAGAAUCAAAGAGGUGGACAUCUAUUUGCAUCGAUUGAUGGUUGGGGUGACAAAAUACUUAAGGCACUUCUUCUUGGAGAAGAACCGCCUGCUAUUUAGAACUACUUCAACUCUAACGACAGUUUAAUAUUCAAAAUCAUCUACUAUCACUACAACCAGGAAAUGCAGGGAGAGAAUCCCACUGUUACUUAGGAUUACUUCGACUGCAUUGCCCUUCUGACAGUUGACAGUAUCUACUAGUGCAAUGCCAUUUUAAUAUUCAAAAUGACCUGCUUCAACUGCAAUGCCAUUUUAUAUU